GAUGAACGCUGGCGGCGUGCUUAACACAUGCAAGUCGAACGGGAAACAUUUUAUUGAAGCUUCGGCAGAUUUAGUUUGUUUCUAGUGGCGGACGGGUGAGUAACGCGUGGGUAACCUGCCUUAUACAGGGGGAUAACAGCCGGAAACGGCUGCUAAUACCGCAUAAGCGCACAGAGGCGCAUGCUUCAGUGUGAAAAACUCCGGUGGUAUAAGAUGGACCCGCGUUGGAUUAGCUGGUUGGCAGGGCAGCGGCCUACCAAGGCGACGAUCCAUAGCCGGCCUGAGAGGGUGGACGGCCACAUUGGGACUGAGACACGGGCCCAGACUCCUACGGGAGGCAGCAGUGGGGAAUAUUGCACAAUGGGGGAAACCCCUGAUGCAGCGACGCCGCGUGAA
RNAcentral lists this ribosomal RNA (396 nucleotides) under uncultured bacterium. RNAcentral describes it as "bacterial SSU rRNA". It matches the Rfam family "Bacterial small subunit ribosomal RNA", at positions 28 to 405 of the family's 1533-position model. The record is from RNAcentral.